This 28-nucleotide non-coding RNA is filed under the name Mus musculus (house mouse). The record is from RNAcentral. Lineage: Eukaryota; Metazoa; Chordata; Mammalia; Rodentia; Muridae.
UCNCACCUGGAUUGUUAUGCUUACUACC